GGUCAGAAUAAGAAAUGAGACAAUCACAGGUGGGAGAGAAAUCUAAGAAAGUGCAGGAAAAGAGGUAGAAGUGGUGUGGAUGUGUGAUGAGGAGAGACAAUGAAGAUGUGGGAAAAGUGUGAUGGGCAUGGGAAACAGAAAGUGAGGGAAUCCAACAUGGAGGUGGACGGAGAAAGUAAAAGAAGAUCUGAAGGACAAGGAGGUGCAGGACUGAGCUGUAUGGUGUAGAAAUCAGAGGCGCUCCAGCAGUCCCAACCCCGACAUGGACAGGCAGAGACUCGAGUUCUAGCACGGCACACUUUUCUUUACAGGUGGGGAAAUGCCUUUCAGGACAAAGAACACCAAAUACACGUCCCUUCUGUCUCUCCUUUUCUUCUCCUUUCCACCUCCACGCCUCCACGGUCAAGCUUCAUCCCUCUUCCUCCCAAAUGUGGCUCCCCGAAUGGAGUGAGUUGACUCUUUUUACAGCUGUUACAGCAUGGAGUACUUCUGGUGGCUCAUCAGCAUUAACUGGAAUCACUCCCAGGUGAGAUGGAAACCCAAAGUAGGGUUCUACAGCUCCCCCUGGCGGCCAACCACGGAAACCCAACAGGGCUGUGCUAAAACUCCAACUCCCAGCAUGCCUUGUGGAAAUCUGUGGUGCCACAGCUGCCCAGGAUGGCUGCCCUCUAGCAUCCCGGGGAAGGUAGUGCCUUGUGAAUGCUCUCCCUCCCCGGGUCCUUCCAUCCAAUGGGUAAUGGCCGUGGCUGCCCGUCACAAUGGAGAAGGUUGAUCAGGAACAUUGACCCUACAUAGAAGUAGAAAAAGACAUAGAAGAAGAAGGAGAAGAAGAAGAAGAUCAUUCUGAUGACAAGGCGAAGGAGGUGGAUAGGCCACGUGUUGAGGUGAGAUGCAGCUUCCAUCACCAAAACUGCUCUAUAUUGGAGUCUAGCAGAAG
This is a long non-coding RNA of Erpetoichthys calabaricus (reedfish), 937 nucleotides long. RefSeq lists it as uncharacterized. The transcript has 3 exons. NCBI's taxonomy places the organism in Eukaryota, Metazoa, Chordata, Cladistia, Polypteriformes, Polypteridae. The record is from RefSeq and is a predicted model, not a curated record.